GAGUGGCACCAGCUCUAUUUAUGCAAAAUACUCCAAAUUCCUUCCUCCUGGUUGGAUGUGAGCUUGGCAUCCUGUCGUUUCCUCAGGAUGUAUGUGAGCCUCCUGGACCUUUCCUGUGCUGCAGGAAAAGCUUUUUUUCCCUUCUCUCCCCAAUCCCAUUGAUUUUUAUCCCGUUCCAGAGCAAGGAGCAGUUUGUUGCCUGUGCCAGGCAAAUGGUUUCUGAUGGGCAGGUGGUUGUUAAGUUUGGGAACAUCCUCGCCAAGCACUGCCUGGACCAGAGAUGCUCCAUGGAGCUGCUCCGUGCCACUGAGCACACCCAAUCCAUCAGCAGCCAGCUCGGCAUCGUGGCCAGGGUGAAAGCAGUGACUGGGGAGAGCAGGGCCUCCUCUGAGCUGCUGCUCAGCAACGUGCAGAACCUCAUUGAAGCAGUCCAGCAUGUCCUGAGGGCGGCCGAGGCAGCGUGUGUCAAAGGUUUGGGACAACCCCCAGAAGACCCUGAAGAAGAAGAAGUUGCUGCUUUCUGCCAGCAGUGGAGAAAAAACCUGACACAGCACAGAGCCAAGGAGGCUUUACGUUCCGACCGGGAUGAAUUAGGGCUCCGGAAAACUCGAGGGGCAAAGGCUGAGCCCACCCUGAUGUCUCUGAUGCAAGAGCAACCCCCUCGGAGCAGGAAUAUCCCAAAGCAUUCCAAUCCUAGGAAAGGACACACAAUUAUGGACAGACAUCUGUAAAUCCAGAGGGGCUCCUUGUCCCAGUGGCGUUGGAAGCAGAGGAGGAAUACUUUGCAGUGUGCAGGAUUCAUGCUGGAGUUUUUCAUUAUGGCAGGAAAACCUUGGAACAGGCUCCGUGGGGAGGCCAGGAAUGUUCUGGUGAGUGCUUUACCCCCAGGUGGUGAGAUGGGAUGGAUGGGGCUCUGGAGAAUCCUGAGCCAGUGGGAGGUGUCAGAGGUAUACCUGCCCAUGGCAAGGGUGGAAUGGGAUGAGUUUAAGGUUCCUUCCCACCCAAACUAUUCCAGGAUUCUGUGAUCCAGAGGUGCUCAGGCUCUGUGCCAUCUUUCAGCCUUUCUUCCUUCACAUAUCCAGGGAUACAGCAGUGGUGAGCAUAUUGUCUCACCUGCUGCCCCUGAACCUGCAGAUUUCUUCCCAAAAUCCCACUCAGCCCCAGGAUUCUCCCAUCCAGAGUAAACAUUCAAUUCCCAAGAUCACCUACCUCACAGCUUCCAGAGUAUCCUAGACUGGUGACACUGCUGCUCCUGUAUUCUGGCUCUCCACAUCCAUCCUUCCAGCCUCAGGAUCACAAGUUGUCCGACAGAAACACUGCUCCAUGCUGGAAUCCUGCAGGAGAGGUGGAAAGGAGCCUCCCCUGUGGAAUACACAAUCCAACACCACAGCAGAUCACAACUUGGCUCCAUGGUGGCUGCAGCCCAUUCCAGCCCACCUUGGUGUCCCACCUGCAUCCCAACCACCUUCCCCAGACCAGGAAUUCCAUUACAUGCACGGCAGCAAGGAGUCUCCUCCGUAUUCCGAGAAAAAGCAGCAGCAGCAGGCACACUGGAGACUCUGGGAAGCUAUCUGCCAUGGAUAAAGCAGGGCAGGGAAGGAGGAAGGCAGGAAGGAAAUACACAUGGAGACAACAGGCUGUGAGGACUUGCAGGCCUUUGUAUCCAUGUCCUAUUUCCACACAGUUUUUCCCUGCUGGCUUGGUUUUUCGAGGAAAACCUUGACCAGCCACACUAGUGAGUAGAUGGAAGAAAUAACAGACUGCUAAUAAAGGGCUAAUGGGUUACUCCAAAAUAACAACCCAGUUCCAUGUCUAUUCUCUACUUUUGCUACACAAAAAAAUAAUAAAAUUAAUGGAAUUCCUGCUCUGGCAAAUCAGGAUGACAAACUGAAACCACGAAUGCCUUCGGAGAUGCCUCCUCUGCUGUGCAGGAAUCACAGGCUUCCCUUGUCUCAUCCAUGCAAGGCAAUCCCUCAGAAUUUGGGAUAAACACUCUGCUGUCCCAGUGGAAACACCACUUGGCCAACAAACAAGAGGAAAAGCUCCAUGACCAUCACUUGGCCAAGGGAAAAACAAGAGGAAAAGGUCCACCAAGGAAGGAACUUAAAGGAGAGAAACCUUCCAAAGGGGUGGGAAGCAGAUGAUUGGUUGAGCAGCCGGCACAUUUUUACUGGAAAAGCAGCUGGCUAGGAAUGACUGCAUUUCCUCUGGAGAAAAAGCAGCCCCAAAGGCAGGACAGGAGGUCUGGAGGACAGUUGUGCUCUCCCGUGCAAAACCUGGGGAAUUCGUGACAUGCAGGAUGUUCCAUGAUGGA
Long non-coding RNA from Serinus canaria (Common canary), 2314 nucleotides. RefSeq lists it as uncharacterized. The record is from RefSeq and is a predicted model, not a curated record. NCBI's taxonomy places the organism in Eukaryota, Metazoa, Chordata, Aves, Passeriformes, Fringillidae. The transcript has 3 exons.